AUGUGAAUUUUAGUGACAUAUUCACUUGUCCAGGAAGUGAGCUCCAUGCUUUUGGAGAAGCUGGUCGAUGCAGGCAUUGGAGACCGUCCUGUUGUUUUUGUGACUCACAGCAUGGGAGGGCUGGUUGUGAAGCAGAUUCUAUACCAAGCAAAAGUAGAGAACAAGGAAAACAUUGUCAACAACACUGUUGGAGUUAUUUUCUACAGCUGCCCACAUUUCGGUAGCAGACUAGCAGACAUGCCCUGGAAAAUGGGCCUUGUACUUCGUCCUGCUCCCACGAUAGGAGAGCUAAGAAGUGGGUCACCUAGACUAAUAGAACUUAAUGAUUUCAUUCGCCCGCCUACACAAAAGGGGUCUGGAAGUUCUUAGUUUCUGUGAGACCAAGGUAACUCCAAUUGUUGAGGGUUAUGGAGGUUGGGCCUUCCGAAUGGAAAUCGUAGCGAUUGAGUCUGCAUAUCCAGGCUUCGGCCAGCUUGUGGUAUUGGAUUCGACGGAUCAUGUUAACUCGUGUAAGCCACUCAGCCGGAGUGAUCCUUCUUAUGCAGAGACACUUGAGUUCUUGAGGAACCUGAAAGCCCAGUACAGAUCAUAUAGUAAGGAAACUAAUCGCUGAAAAAAAAACUUACAUUUUUUUUGGUAGGUGUAAAUAUGUUUAGGGUUAAAGUAAUUUUUUGAUGAGACAGAAAAUUAAAUGGGGAUAAGUUUUGGGGUAGAUAGAAUAGAAUGGCGCUGUAAAUUACUUACUCCAUAAGAUUAAGAUCAAUCAGGUGUUAAUUUCUUGUACAAAAGAUUGUUACACAUGAGUAAAAAAAGGAUAUGAUUUAACUUUUUG
This is a long non-coding RNA of Impatiens glandulifera, 832 nucleotides long. RefSeq lists it as uncharacterized. The record is from RefSeq and is a predicted model, not a curated record. The transcript is spliced from 6 exons. Lineage: Eukaryota; Viridiplantae; Streptophyta; Magnoliopsida; Ericales; Balsaminaceae.